RNAcentral lists this ribosomal RNA (355 nucleotides) under Clostridioides difficile. RNAcentral's name for it is "bacterial LSU rRNA". It matches the Rfam family "Bacterial large subunit ribosomal RNA", at positions 150 to 509 of the family's 2925-position model. Lineage: Bacteria; Bacillati; Bacillota; Clostridia; Peptostreptococcales; Peptostreptococcaceae. The record is from RNAcentral.
UCAUUAAGUGAAUACAUAGCUUAAUGAGGGGAACUCAGGGAACUGAAACAUCUAAGUACCUGAAGGAAGAGAAAGAAAUUCGAUUCCGUAAGUAGCGGCGAGCGAACGCGGAUUAGCCCAAACCAAUAAAGUUUUCUUUAUUGGGGUUGCGGACAUAUCAUAACGAAGAGGUAUCGUAAUUGAAGAGGUUUGGAAAGACCCACCACAGAAGGUAAUAGUCCUGUAUGUUAAACGAGAAGACUUUAGAUAUGAUCCAGAGUACCACGGGACACGUGAAACCCUGUGGGAAGCAGGAGGGACCACCCUCCAAGGCUAAAUACUACCUAGUGACCGAUAGCGUAUAGUACCGUGAGGG